This 425-nucleotide ribosomal RNA is filed under the name uncultured bacterium. RNAcentral describes it as "bacterial SSU rRNA". It matches the Rfam family "Bacterial small subunit ribosomal RNA", at positions 354 to 796 of the family's 1533-position model. The record is from RNAcentral.
GUGGGGAAUCUUGCGCAAUGGGCGAAAGCCUGACGCAGCCAUGCCGCGUGAAUGAUGAAGGUCUUAGGAUUGUAAAAUUCUUUCACCGGGGACGAUAAUGACGGUACCCGGAGAAGAAGCUCCGGCUAACUUCGUGCCAGCAGCCGCGGUAAUACGAAGGGGGCUAGCGUUGCUCGGAAUUACUGGGCGUAAAGGGCGCGUAGGCGGACAGCUUAGUCAGAGGUGAAAGCCCAGGGCUCAACCUUGGAAUUGCCUUUGAUGCUGGCUGGCUUGAGUGUGGGAGAGGUGAGUGGAACUCCGGGUGUAGAGGUGAAAUUCGUAGAUAUAGGAAGGAACACCAGUGGCGAAGGCGACUACCUGGACUGAUACUGACACUGAGGUGCGAAAGCGUGGGGAGCAAACAGGAUUAGAUACCCGAGUAGUCC